This 4747-nucleotide long non-coding RNA is filed under the name Phoenix dactylifera (date palm). RNAcentral's name for it is "long non-coding RNA (PDAC_LNC003890)". The record is from RNAcentral. Lineage: Eukaryota; Viridiplantae; Streptophyta; Magnoliopsida; Arecales; Arecaceae.
UCAUAUCUUCAUCAUAUCCUUUUAUUGCCAUUUGUUCCAUCAUGCCUUCAAAACACUGAUAUGGAUGUACAUAGACAGCUUUUUGGAACUAUGUAGUUCCAAUUAUUCAGCAUCAUUGGGCAUAGGCUGCUUUGUAGUACCAUUGCGUUUAUUUUACUGGGCAUUGCUUUUGUACAACUGCCAGAGAAAAGUGCACUCUUUUCUCAAUUUUGUCAUUAGCAGUGGAUAAUCAAAUAAUUUCAUGCAAUUACUUGUUCGCACAUCUCUAUUUUUGGUACACUUCUCUUUUUGAAACCUAUAUCUACCAGUGCUGCCUGGCGUACUCUUUUAUGCUGCAGCAUGGUUUGAUCUCAUUCAGGUGCAAUUGUUUGGGCUUUCAUUGCAUGGAAAUCUUGUGGUUGAGUGUUGAAGUGGCAAUUUCUGUAGCUGGCGAACACUGCAGCACCAAUCUUUUGAUGACGGUGGUCAGUAAUUCUUGUAUGCGUAAAUGAUCAUAAAACCCCUUGCAGUAAUCGUUCAAGGCUUGAACCUGCUGUUAUCAUGAAGCUAUCAUGGAAAUUGCCUUUGUCGAGCUUCAUGCUUCUUAGGAAGAGUUGAAAGAGAGUCCAGCAUCAGCUAGAAAGCAACAAAAUUUAUUUAUUGAAUCUGUCAUUCUGAAACCCCACAAUAAACUAACAUCAGAAAUUUUUUAAGAUUCUUUAGAAAUCUGACUUACUGGGUUAUAUUUUACCCUGCAACUCAUUGAAUCUGGUUCUUUUUGGUUCUAAUAUAAUAAGUUUAACGUGUUCUUGGGAAGCUUAGUGGUGGGCAUCGUGUCAUUUUCUUUAGCUUCAACCAUGGACCAGCUACCAGUUCUUCAUUCACUGCAUGUCAAUUGCUAUUGUGAUCAUGUUUAUCUUCAGUGAUACGGUUUAAUGUUGCUUUGUUUUUAACUUUUGUGUAUUAAAGUGAAUUUGCAGUGUAAAUUGUUUUACUUCUUUCACAUUAUGGGAUUAGGACUUCAUCUUUUACCUUGAAAUUCAACUGGCACUUUAUCAAUAAUUCAUCUAAUGGUCUGCAGAUGAGGACAUUUAUAAAUAUAACUUCAUGGGAAUGACCAAGCAGCUGUAGAGCUUAAAAUAUUUUUCAUCUAUAGGAUAAUGAUUAUAAGUUUCAUAUAUUUUUUUGUAAUUGGUAGAGUAUGUUUGUAGAUCAUUGUUUUAGUUUGAUAUAAGCAAAAUAUGGUACACAUCUGUUAACUAACAAUUUACUCAUCUCUAUGCAUUCUGCAGACAAUUUGGAUUUUUAUCAAACGCAGUGCUGAAUGGAAGCCUCUGCAAUUUCUAGCUUUCAUUUUUUUCUACCGAAUAUUUGAGAAAUUGAAAUCUUUUGAGCCAGCAGUAUCUCCAACUUUUACCGUGAGUAAUACAAAACUAAUAAUGUAGGACCUGUUAGAGCUUUGAUUUGUUUCUGAUGAGUCAUGUAUCAAUAGACAUUAGGUUGAGAAUGUCCCUGUUAAGGACUUUUGUUUUUCUGUUAUGAGCUGUUGAUUGACACACAUUAGACUGACAGUCACAAGAUUUAAGAAUUUACCAUAUAUGGAUUACUGUCAAGUGGUUAAACAAAUUUGCACCCCCUGAUUUGCCAGUGUAUGCAGUAUAAGUUUAUAAAACAACAGUUAUUUGUUGGUUAGUGCUAAAAACUUUUUAUUUUCUUUUUUAUGCUUCAUUUUUUGCUUAAAGAGUACCACCUAUAAUAUAAAAAGUUUAUGGUUAUACAAUUAAGCUAGUUGCAAUUGAGUUGACCAGAAUAAGUGGCUCUGUGCUGCAGGAGGAUGGUGAGGAUGAAGGUAGGGCAUUACGUAUGGGAAAGCGACUACUUCGUUCUCUUUCACUGGUUUUUGGGUGUAUAGCUGUUUCAUCUUUGGUAUGUGAAUGACAAAUACUUUAGGUGCUUGCUUUUUUUGUAUAUUGAUGCUUAAUUACGUUCCAAGAAAACUAAAUUCACAAUUUCAUUCUCACUGGUUUUCCUUUUUUUUUAGUUUGGUUUUCAUUCAUUUUAUUGGUUUGAUCCACUGAUGGUGUUGCAGGGUUAUACCGGACUACUCAACCUGAUCGAGUUUCUAGGACAUUACAUUCCUGUCUUUCUUUACAAUAACCAGGUAAUUGCUUAAGGGCCUGUUUGGUAUCACUAUUGUCUGUGAUUUAGGUUCUCUAUGAAUCUGUGAAAUACCACAUGAAGAUUGAUAAAUUUUAUUCUGCUAUUUCUUUGCUUUUAUUCACUCUUUGAAAGCAAUAAAUUUUUGCCACCGAAAGAGCUAGACUUUACAAACAAAGUUAGAUAAACAAAGUGGUAUUGUCUUACAUGUUGUGCAGUCUAGUUGAUUUUCUUCUUGGGUUUUUACAAAACAGAAACAGAAAACAAAAAGCAAUAUCAAACAGGGCCUAGAUAUUUCUUUAUAAUAUAUGCUCAUAUAGUUUUACCAGAUCAAAUAUGCAUGAUAUAUACAAGCUACGAGGAUUAGGACUAUCCAUGGAUUGGAUCAGAUCAAGCUCCAAACUCAGACAAGAAUAUGAUUUGAUAUGCAGGAUGCUAACUACUUAAUCAUCAUAACUGGACGGAUAGACAUUGCACAUGUGCAUGCACACACCACUUAUGCAGAUGCGAACAUUUUUAGAAAAGGGAUGAAUGGAUUAGUGCAUGGAAUUCUAGAGGGGUAAAAGAAUUGAUGAUUUCGAUAGUAAGGAGUGGUAGAGGGAAAGUGAUGGAUUGGACUUGAGAAUAUGAAGAUAAUGGGAAGUUUUAUCAUUUUAAGUUUUCCAUAUCUUUUGAUACAACAAUAACAAGUUUAUGCCUAAGCAAGAUAAUUAUUUGUGUCUUCCAAUAUUGGAUAAUAUGUGUAUCCAUUGAUUAUUUGUCCUAAAAAUGGAUGAAAGGAUGGCAAGUAGAGAUCCCAAGGUAAUACUAGGAGAGGCUUAACCACAGAACUUCUUGUCUUGCAGAAAUGCAUGUGUUCACUAGCAUCCGGAAGCGAAGAAUAUUUAAUGUAAGAGACAAAAGUAAGGUGGCAAAAUUCUCAUGGGAAGUUAUACCUUCUGAAAGGUGAAUUUUUGUGAAAGGGAUGUGAAACCUGCAAAUUCUUAGUAGGUAAAAAUUGAUAGUUGGACUAGAUGGUAGUAACUGCAUUGUCGAAGGCUCAAGGCACCAUGGACUCUUGGAGCCUAGGUACAAGGCGCAAUGCAAGGUGGGUGCCUGGAUGAAGUGAGGCACAAAAAUAUUAACAUACAUAUAUAAUAACAAAUAAAUGAAUCCAGACACCUUAAAUAAUGAAUUAUCAAUUUAUAAACAUAAAUACAAAUAGAAGAAGCAAAGACAUGGCAUGUAAAAUAUCGAAAAGUCAAAUAUAAUAAGAUAAUAAGCUACUAUGAAAUAACUAUUAUGGUACCACUACCCAAGUAUGAACUAUCGUACUACAUAAAGAUAUUAAACCACAAGCUAGCGUUCAGAGAUGAAAGGUGAAUUCUCCAAGCUUUAAGUCAAAACAUGAAAGCAAGCAUAUAAAUUCAGUUGUCCAGAAUACAACUAAAAGGAGACCAAGGUAUCUAUCAUGAAAUCUGAUCGGAGACUCUAAGUCAUCAUAGAAGUCCUAUUCCCUAAUGAUCGUUAUCAUGAUUAUUAUCAAGUGUAAUCAUAUACAUCUUAUAUGAUCAUUAAUAUGCAGGACAUUAUGCUUAAUUCUGCUAUAUUCAUGUGCAUUUAGUGCUCAUAUAACUAAACUGCCCUCAUGGUGUUUUGUUUGGCUCAACAGGAGCUGCUUGUUACGACGGCAACAUCCAUCUUGCUCUACACCAUGGCAUCAUAUUACCGAUGAUAACUAUUUUCAGGUGUUCUGCAGGCGUUUAAAACCUAGACAGCAUGUUGUCAAAAUUUAGAGCUAUUCUUAGUCACAUGUCUGUUCUUAUGUAUAGAAAAGGCACCUUCACUAGGUGGCUGCCUGUUUUUGAGUAUAGGGCGUACUCUUUUAUGCUGCAGCAUGGUUUGAUCUCAUUCAGGUGCAAUUGUUUGGGCUUUCAUUGCAUGGAAAUCUUGUGGUUGAGUGUUGAAGUGGCAAUUUCUGUAGCUGGCGAACACUGCAGCACCAAUCUUUUGAUGACGGUGGUCAGUAAUUCUUGUAUGCGUAAAUGAUCAGAAAACCCCUUGCAGUAAUCGUUCAAGGCUUGAACCUGCUGUUAUCAUGAAGCUAUCAUGGAAAUUGCCUUUGUCGAGCUUCAUGCUUCUUAGGAAGAGUUGAAAGAGAGUCCAGCAUCAGCUAGAAAGCAACAAAAUUUAUUUAUUGAAUCUGUCAUUCUGAAACCCCACAAUAAACUAACAUCAGAAAUUUUUUAAGAUUCUUGUCAUUUGCUUCAUGUCAGCCCUUGACUUCUUGUGAAAUUAUGCUUAUAUUUGGGUGAGUCUUUACCUUGAAUGGUUAGAGGCGUUAGAUCAAUCCAUUCCUGAUGCAGAGGAAUGUAAUGUCAGUCCUGUUGGACGAUUAGGCUCGUCAGAAAUAUUGUUUUUGUAAUGUUGGUUGUCUGCAUCAUUUUUAAAUCUAGGUAGAAGGUGAAACAGAAUAGUUAAAAUUUGAUCUGAAUAUAACAUGGGUGAAAGCCGUGUUGAAGGAUUUAGAGAACUUGUGGCAGCGGUGGAGCAGCGGGGUUGUCCAAGAUAGAAGUGAAUUAAACCGGUUUGGUAAUGCAAGAGUUACCUGGUUCUUUUGCAAUGCUUGCUU